CCUCCAUGCUAGACAUGGAGCUCUCUAAUGGACUGUAAUUGGGUUAUAAAAGUGGUGCUCCAAGUGCAAAAGAAGUGUGGGAUUGGGAUUGAGAAAUGAGCAGUGAUGGUACAAUUGGCUGUUUUCUCUUGAAUGUAAUGGUAAGGGCUCCAGGAGUGCAAGGUGUGUGUUCCAGUCCCCACCAUUUGGUUUGUACAUGUCCUGCUCAGACACAGGUCCAACUUCCUCAGUCCUUAACACAACAGAGGGUGAAUGAAGGACUAUCACUGUUAAGGUGAUUGGUGCGACAGGGGUUAAACUGGGAAAACAUUGGGUAAUUCCUCAGUUUCUCUAUUUACCAAACCUGUAUUAGGAGGAGAUUGAGUGGAAAAGUUGAGGCAGAAAUCCAAUUGAAAACUGGGGAUAUUGACACUGUAAUUCCUGAAACUAAAUGUGUCAAAGCAGCAGCUCUUCUUGUGCAGGGAAUAAAUCCUGUCAGCAGCAAGGUCCGGACUGAAGUGGCAGCUGCAGUUGUUCCUGUUGUGUGGGCCAGUGGAAUUCCAGGAGAGUGGAAGAGGGCAGAACCUGUAGAACGUGAACGCAAGAACCUGCCAAGAAAACCAAUGGCAAAGAUGAUUGAUUAGUGCAGGACCUGAGAGAACCCCCUUAAAUGACAACCUCGAGUGGUUUCCAGUAUUAGAUUGAAAAGAUGCCCUUUGCUGCAUCUCCUUGAGCAAGGAAAGCCAAGAAACCUUUGCUUUUGCAGGAUAAAAUCUGGAAAGCGGGAAGGA
Molecule: long non-coding RNA, 770 nt
Organism: Neopelma chrysocephalum (saffron-crested tyrant-manakin)
Lineage: Eukaryota; Metazoa; Chordata; Aves; Passeriformes; Pipridae
Exons: 2
Source: RefSeq, a predicted model, not a curated record